UGAAUUACAGUGGCUUCCUUAAGACUUUUGUCCCCUUUUAUCUAGAUCUGCAGGUUCAGACCUUGGUACCAGCCUUUCCGUGCAACUUGACACUCCUUCCCUGCUUUCUCAGCCUUCAUUUAUUCUUUCAACCAACCCCUGCAUCACCAGCACCGGCACCAGCUAUAGCAUGGUACCAUCUCCACCUUCUUACCACAAGUCCUUGAUCCCUGUUCACCCCAGCGCCAUCAGCUCCACAACCAGUGUCGUGUCUGCCAGAGAAGACCAAACACCCUCUACCUCCACCAGUCACCCUUCGGCGUUCGCUGCCCUCCAUGUGAGAAAUGCGCCUGUUCCCUCAAAACAGAGCACCCAAAGACUUGUUAUUUCUGAGGCAUCCAACAGUGUGGCUUCUGGAGGGUCAGUGGGACGGUACAGCAAUAGUGGGACUUCAGGAAGCAAUAUUGGUCUUGCUCUCUUUGGCGUGGGGCUUGGUAGCAAAGCAUUGUUUCAAAGUUUAAUGGAAGAAAAUGGCUGCUGUUUGCUUUACAUUGUGGAGGAUCAGUUGCCAGAUGUGGAACGUGCCUUCAAUACAGAAUUCCUGGCCAACACCAGGGUGCUACGGCAACAGGAUGCGGACAUAGUGCUCAAUGAUCAACGUGUCUCUGGAGCCAUUGUCUGUUCACCACCUGAAGCAGCCUCUGAAAUUGUGAUAGAUGCUUUACGAGCAGGGAAAGGCGUGUUUUGCGAGAAGCUACCCAGUUUAGAUAGGCAGACAGCAGAGGCUUGUUUUGAUGAAGCUGACAGAUGUGGAAGACCAUUGGUCUGUGGAUUCUACAAGCGUUUUGAUCCAGCCCUGCAGUUCUUGUAUAAAAAAGUCCAUGACAGCCAGGCACUGGGGAGGAUUCAUCGGAUUUCGACAGUUAGCAGCAUAUAUCCAGCAGCAUCUCUUAGCUUCCUAAAAAAGUCAGGUGGGAUUUUCUAUAAUGCUGCUGUACAUGAUAUUGAUAUUAUCAGUUUGUUGCUGGGAGAAAGUGCACCAGAUACAAUAUUUUCACUGGGACAUGCAUUCUGUGCAGAUAUGGCCUACUUGAAGGAUGCAGACACUGUAGCAGUCAGCAUGAAAUUUCCUAGUGGAGCAAUUGUUACUUUGGACGUGAGUCAGCACUGUACUAAAAGCUGUGAUCAGAGACUAGAGGUUCAUGGUUCUCAAGGAACAUUACGGGUAGAUAAUCAGAAUCCCUUGGGAAUUACAGAACAUGGAACGUCUGUGUCCAUAUAUUCACAAACCCAGGCUGAUCGGUACAAAGAAGCAUACAGAGAACUCUUUAGACACUUUCUCAGAACCCUCAAAGGCAAAGAACCCCCUGUUAUCACCAAAGAGCAGUUUCUCUGGACGAUUCAGGUAGCUGCAGCUGCUGAACAGUCUUGGAGGAACGGAUCUGCUGUGGACUUGCGCAAUGAAGCAAUAGACGUGUCUCUAAUCAAGACUGAAAUAAUGUGACACACACUGCUGUUUGAAGUGAAGGCUAUUCCCUGAGCUCUGCUAAAGGGAGUGAAGUCUCUCUUCAUCUAGUGAGGUUUCCACUGUUGACUUAAUACAAAACUAAACAACCUUUUUUAUUUUUUUAUUUUUCUUUACAUUUUCACUGGAAACACCUAUAACUCAGAUACCUUUUAGAACUACAGGAGUGUUCAGUACUGGUGUUCCCGAUGAUUCUUAGGACAUCAUUCAGGACUCGGAGAAGAAAUUAUGGGAGGCUUUGUCUACAGUGGCAUUUCCUUUUUGAAGGAGUUACUUUCAGGUUCUGAAAUACUGUUUUUCUGAUAGUGGAUUUCCCAGACACUAAUCAUGAUAAGAUAAUGACGUACUGACAACCUGCUGUUGUAGUGAAGACUGUGCAAUGAACAUCUUGAAUGGCAGCUUGAAAAUGAGGUGCAAUCAUGGUAUUCAAAAUAAGAGCAUCCAUUUGAUCCAUACUAUACAUCUCAUUAGUAUAUGCAGGAAUGUGAUUUGUCUACUAAAUACCCCUCUUCUGAGUCCCCCAUCUAUAGAACUGUCCAUGUUGUUCUUAAUUCAUUGCUGUGGAUUUGAAAUAACAUAGCUGAGGAGUUGUGAGCGUCUAACUUUUUGAAAAUGAGCAGGCAGGGAGACUUCUUACCAACCUGGCUCUAGAGUGUAAUGAAAGAAACUUGGAAGGCAUGCUAUAAAUUGGACUUUUUCACAGAGCAAACCAUGCACUUGGGCAUUUCUAUAUGAACGCUGCAUCAGUGUUAAAAAAAAUAAAGGUUUCUUUUAGAACA
Chelonoidis abingdonii (Abingdon island giant tortoise) is the source of this 2283-nucleotide long non-coding RNA. Lineage: Eukaryota; Metazoa; Chordata; Testudines; Testudinidae. The record is from Ensembl.